This 221-nucleotide ribosomal RNA is filed under the name uncultured fungus. Its description in RNAcentral is "partial small subunit ribosomal RNA". The stretch from base 92 to 221 matches the Rfam family "Eukaryotic small subunit ribosomal RNA", at positions 734 to 864 of the family's 1831-position model. Lineage: Eukaryota; Fungi. The record is from RNAcentral.
GGCAGGGGCAACCGGUAAGGCCCGCAAGGGUCUUGACUCGAGUUCGCUCUUGUCAUCCUUGGGGAGAACCAUGCUGGCAUUAGCUUGUUGGUAUGGGAAUCCUCAUCGUUUACUGUGAAAAAAUUAGAGUGUUCAAAGCAGGCUUAGGCCCUGAAUACAUUAGCAUGGAAUAAUGAGAUAGGACCUUGGUGGUCUAUUUUGUUGGUUUGCACGCCGAGGUA